UACGUAGGGCGCAAGCGUUGUCCGGAAUUAUUGGGCGUAAAGAGCUCGUAGGCGGUUUGUCGCGUCUGCUGUGAAAUCUAGCCGCUUAACGGUUAGCGUGCAGUGGGUACGGGCAGACUAGAGUGUGGUAGGGGAGACUGGAAUUCCUGGUGUAGCGGUGAAAUGCGUAGAUAUUUGGAGGAACACCAGUGGCGAAGGCGACUCUUUGGUCUAUUACUGACGCUGAGGUACGAAAGCAUGGGUAGCAAACAGGAUUAGAUACCCCGGUAGUCCCU
This 275-nucleotide ribosomal RNA is filed under the name uncultured prokaryote. RNAcentral describes it as "partial 16S ribosomal RNA". It matches the Rfam family "Bacterial small subunit ribosomal RNA", at positions 524 to 798 of the family's 1533-position model. The record is from RNAcentral.